RNAcentral lists this ribosomal RNA (301 nucleotides) under uncultured bacterium. Its description in RNAcentral is "partial 16S ribosomal RNA". It matches the Rfam family "Bacterial small subunit ribosomal RNA", at positions 509 to 807 of the family's 1533-position model. The record is from RNAcentral.
CAGUAGCCGCGGUAAUACGUAGGUGGCAAGCGUUGUCCGGAAUUAUUGGGCGUAAAGGGCUCGCAGGCGGUUUCUUAAGUCUGAUGUGAAAGCCCCCGGCUCAACCGGGGAGGGUCAUUGGAAACUGGGAAACUCGAGUGCAGAAGAGGAGAGUGGAAUUCCACGUGUAGCGGUGAAAUGCGUAGAGAUGUGGAGGAACACCAGUGGCGAAGGCGACUCUCUGGUCUGUAACUGACGCUGAGGAGCGAAAGCGUGGGGAGCGAACAGGAUUAGAUACCCCUGUAGUCCCUGUCUCUUAUAC